ACUGUAGUUUGUCUCUAAAUUUUUACUUCAUCGUUUUUAAUUAUCCAUUGAAAAUGCCUAUAGCAAAGAUAGCAAGUGGUAGAUUUAUGUUUUUGAUAGUACAGGAACGAACGAUAACUCUUGCGAUGGUAUGCGACAUAAACAAAGGAUAAGCACGGAGUCUGAUGCCUGUAGAUGAAAUUCCGAGGGAAAAAAUAGUUCAAUUUGAAAAAUUAAUGCGUGUUUAUGAGUACAGAAGGAACAUAGGGAAACGGGUAAUAUUAAUGCUUUAAAUUUUUAAAUAAACAAGGGUGUGUUUAAAUCUAUUUAAAAAAGAUUAUUAGAAUAUUAAUGAUACAAUGCCUAUAAAUUAUUUGUAAACAUACCAACGUUUCGCGUAGUAAUCUCAGACAAUACUGCAUAACGUUAUGCAGUGUAAAAUUUUUGUCAACAAAUCCACGUUGAGAAAAACUGGUGACUGUCCAUCUUCGACAUACGUAAGAUGAAUGUCAAGAAACUGAUUAACAUUAACUGACAAGAGGAGACAAUGAUAUCCCAACAUCAUUCUUCAUCUCUGGUGAAGGGGAGAGUUGCUAAAUUUGGGUGCACAGCUAAAUUCAAGCAAAACAAAGAAAAAGACGGAUGCUAUAAAAAUGUGGUGUUGGCUUCCCAGUUCAGCACUUUUAAAGAGGGACAAACAUUGUACGUUUGCAACUUCUAAAUGGAAGCAGGGCAUCUGAAAUAUGCUAGAAUCCUCAUCUUAAUGGCCUUAACGCCAUUUUCAAGAUUAUCCUGCUGAAAAAGACAGUUGUCAUUGGUAUAAUGGAUGCAAGACAACACUAGUGAAUUGAAAUUGUUGUUACCACAAAUGGCACACUCCAGGAUUACAAGCUUUCCAAAAACACCAUUACGGCAUGCAGCUAU
Magallana angulata is the source of this 903-nucleotide long non-coding RNA. RefSeq lists it as uncharacterized. The record is from RefSeq and is a predicted model, not a curated record. NCBI's taxonomy places the organism in Eukaryota, Metazoa, Mollusca, Bivalvia, Ostreida, Ostreidae. The transcript is spliced from 3 exons.